This 21-nucleotide non-coding RNA is filed under the name Caenorhabditis elegans. The record is from RNAcentral. Lineage: Eukaryota; Metazoa; Nematoda; Chromadorea; Rhabditida; Rhabditidae.
UGAUUGGGUGAUUGGAUACAA